GCGGGUAUGGCGGAACUGGCAGACGCAAUGGAUUUAGGAUCCAUCGGGUUUCCCGUGCAGGUUCGACCCCUGUUACCCGCACCA
Molecule: transfer RNA, 84 nt
Filed under: Subdoligranulum sp.
Lineage: Bacteria; Bacillati; Bacillota; Clostridia; Eubacteriales; Oscillospiraceae
Description: tRNA-Leu
Rfam family: tRNA
About the family: Transfer RNA (tRNA) molecules are approximately 80 nucleotides in length. Their secondary structure includes four short double-helical elements and three loops (D, anti-codon, and T loops).
Source: RNAcentral